UUAAUAAACAGCAUGAUGGUUUGGGCUGGAUUAUUUCCCCCCACUAUUAACACAAUGUUAUCCAUCAUUACUGAUUCAAUUAGCUACACAAAUAUCAAAACUUUUUUCCUGUAAAAUAUAAAAUGGACAAGAAAUCUACCCAAAUCAUUAAAUGUGAUAAACACGAAUACAUCACCCAAAGCCUAAUAGAUAACUGCUUGCUAUUUCUUUUCACAGUUCCACUAUAUAAACACUUCUGGAAUCUACACAAAAAACGUCGCACUGGGAUAUUAUUACAUGCCGGAUUAUAAACCAGACACUACUAUUACUACUAUCAGUGCUCUAGCAAUCCAUUUCUUUUUCUCCUCUCUCUCUCACACGCGCGCACACACACACACGCACACUCGCACAGUGAAGCCUCCAAUUAACUGCCGCUGCCGGUCCAAGUGUAUUUUGUUUCUUUUGGAACUCGGGAUUCGUACGGCCUUUGGGAUGAUCGAAAAAGAGUAACAAAACGAUUUAAUUUCGGAAUCGCGGAAGGCCCUGCCCGGCAGCAAAGCUGUCAGUGUCACAACUGCCGCGAUCCCCGUGACUCUGCCCGGAGAAACGAAACCUGCGUCUUCGCCCCAUUCAAAGCAUCAGGAUAUCCUCAAACCUUCUCUUCCCCUCUCUUUGCCGCUCAUCCCGCAGACGACGAGCAGAAAGAGGAGGCUGGGGAGCCCAGUCCCAGGGUGGAGAGGGCCGCGGGGCCCCGGGUUCUGGGCCUUCUGAGCCGCUGCCCCCUCGCUCACCCACCUGAUGCUCUUUCACCACUUCACUGAGGCAGGGAUACCGCUCCGAGAUCCAUCGGUAAAACUUGGGGACUCCCAUCUCGACCGUCAACACUAAUUCCAAUCAGGGCCAAACCGAAACCAAACGCCCCGCCGGGGCCUACGCCGCAGCCUCCGGCCGUCGCUUCGCCGAUGACAACACACCGCUCGCCCGACCAUAGAGAGCGCUCGCCGGGCCUAGAGCGGCCGAUUCGAGGCCGCAUCCCCGGGGCGGGGCUCUAAUCCUAGCCGCCGCUGAACGGCGGUGGUUACGUUCAAGAGCAAGGCGGCGUUUUGGUGCGUGAAACUUUGUUCUGGAAAUGCCGGUUGAUGGAACUGUGCUUUAUAAAUGGACGUGGAAGUGCUGUGAAAACCUCACGAGCCUGCUGGAAGAUUUUUGGAACACUGAUUUUUGUCCUGAUUGCUUGUGUCCUGGGAUUACUAAUCUCAGUAUUUUUCAACACUGAUUUGGGAAGAUCUGGUGAUUUGGUUGUUUGGCGACGGGUGAAGCGUUUCUCUGAGGAAUUGGUUUAGUUUUGUUUGGCGAGGGAGAGGUUUUUUCCUUUGAGGAAUAUAACUCUAUAGCAAAGUCUCUUUUAAAAACGC
Molecule: long non-coding RNA, 1394 nt
Organism: Leopardus geoffroyi (Geoffroy's cat)
Lineage: Eukaryota; Metazoa; Chordata; Mammalia; Carnivora; Felidae
Exons: 2
Source: RefSeq, a predicted model, not a curated record